RNAcentral lists this long non-coding RNA (376 nucleotides) under Homo sapiens (human). Its description in RNAcentral is "HSALNT0285120". The record is from RNAcentral. Lineage: Eukaryota; Metazoa; Chordata; Mammalia; Primates; Hominidae.
AUCAAAACAGGCCUGGGGUUAACCCCAGGUUUAUGAUUGACUCAAAUCGACAUGGCAGUGCUUUGCUACUCCUGAGGGAAUCCUUCAGGGCUACAUACAGAGGAUGCCAGCACCAGCUCCAGGCGAGGACUGCUAUGACUCUACAGCUCUCAUGACAGCAGAAUCCUCCUCAAUCCCAAGUGAGCAGAACCAGGGACAGUCAGAUUUGAACAGAGAACUCCUGCCACUGCCAAGGAGCUAACAGGUGGAAGGAUGGAGAGGAGUUAGACCUGAACCAGAUUGAGACACAAAUGGAGGAGCCUUGGACAUCACCUGGGGCAUGUGGACCUAGUGACUAAGAAGCUGUCAUGGCCCUGGGACAUCUCUGCAGCAGCUA